UAAGGAAUAUUGGUCAAUGGACGCAAGUCUGAACCAGCCAUGCCGCGUGAAGGAUGAAGGUCCUCUGGAUUGUAAACUUCUUUUAUCUGGGACGAAAACGGGAUUUUUAUCUCAAUUGACGGUACCAGAGGAAUAAGCACCGGCUAACUCCGUGCCAGCAGCCGCGGUAAUACGGAGGGUGCGAGCGUUAUCCGGAUUUACUGGGUUUAAAGGGUGCGUAGGUGGGCUUAUAAGUCAGUGGUGAAAUCUCCGAGCUUAACUUGGAAACUGCCGUUGAUACUAUAGGUCUUGAAUUAUCUGGAGGUAAGCGGAAUAUGUCAUGUAGCGGUGAAAUGCUUAGAUGUGACAUAGAACACCAAUUGCGAAGGCAGCUUACUACAUAUAAAUUGACGCUGAGGCACGAAAGCGUGGGGAUCAAACA
This 421-nucleotide ribosomal RNA is filed under the name uncultured bacterium. RNAcentral's name for it is "bacterial SSU rRNA". It matches the Rfam family "Bacterial small subunit ribosomal RNA", at positions 355 to 774 of the family's 1533-position model. The record is from RNAcentral.